GAUCCGCCUAUUGUUAGCCUGCUAGUAGUAGAAAGUUGUUAGUCAUUUUUAGAUGCUCGUAGCAGCGCUAAGGGUGCCUCUGCGCCUCUGGGGGUAAAUUGUUAGCCGCUACAGUAACAACUAACAAGGGCAGCCUUUGUUAUCUACUAUAGUAGCAACUAACAAGGGCCGUAUAGUUUUUAUUUUCCUAAUAAAUAAAUCGAGACUUGGAAAACUAACUUUAUUCCCAUUUUCUGGUUAUUGACGAAAUGUGGACUUCUUUAAUAAACAACUAAAUUACUCAUAUUUUACUGCGGCCAAAAUAUUUAUGAAUAAUACUAAAAUAGGGAUUAAAGAUGAGAUUUUGUGUAGAUAAUCAAGGCCCUAUCCUAUUUAUAGGAGGAAACUGUGCGCUGUAUGCAUAUAUAUUAUUAUUUAAUGAACUUUCUUUUCAGAGGUCCCUAUAUUCUAAUUUCGACAAUUAUAACAUAUACACUGUACAUUGCAUAAACUUCUCUCGAACAGUUCUGAGUCGCUUUUUGAUCCACCAUUUUAUAAUUUGCUCCCUUUACUAUAGGAGUAUUCUUCCCGUCGUAAUGGAUGUUUUGGUACAUUAAAAUCUGAUCUUAUCUAUUAUCUAUUCCAAUCGUAUUUCUGACUAUAGCAGUAACGAUUUGUAGGCCUACUAAUUUAAUAAAAAUAAAAAACCCCACGUAAUUUGUCCUUUCGUUUUAAAUGUAUCGAACGUUAAAUUGUUAUUCGUAAUAUCUCUUUUCAAUGCUAAAGUAUGAAAACAUUUGUUAGCUAUGUAAAUUCAUCAAAUCAAAAGUUCUAGAAAGAUUUGGAAUAUUCUGAUUCUGUAACAAAUGUAAAUUUAUAUUUCGGUCAUUUUUGAAAAUAGUGAGUUACUAGGGAUUCGUCGUGGCCUAGAUUCCGAUUUGACUUUUAAUGGAGUCAAAGAACACGUUGAUUUGUUUCGCGACCUAUACAUAGGCCUACAGUAUUUGUUUAAAGACCCAAACGAAGUUGAUUUGGAGAAAAAUAAAGCUCCUUAAGCAGAGAAAAGACACAAGAAUGUAUUGAUGUUGGAUGUUUAAGUUGAAAAAAUCAAACUAAAGACUUCAGCAGAAGUGAAAUGAUCCCAAAAAGAACUUAAGGGGGGAAUAUGUUUCAAGGAAUAAUGAAAUCUAGAGAAGAAUACCAGAAGAAAAAUGGUACAGGAGAAAUUUCAAGAUCUAGAUUGGUAAAAUGCUUUCUAGAUGGAGCUUAGUAAAUGCAUUUCAAGAUUGAGCUUAUUAAAAAUUGAAUUCUAGAAAUAGAAACCUUUGAUUACCGUGCACCACAAGCUUUUGCUUACGAUAAUGUCGAAUCAUUUUGGUGUUGCAGAAAUUGCAAAAGAGUGGAUGGCGUCAUAUCUACAAAACAGGAGUUUUCGUGUAAAAGUUAAGAAUGAUUUCUCCGAUGUAAAACAUGUCAAUUUUUCAGUUCCACAAGGUAGCAUCAAUGGUCCGAUCUACUUUAUCUGCUAUACCAGUACACUAGCAUCCUGCAUCAGACACAAUCAAACAUUAGUUGGCUACGCCUAUGACCACAGCUUGUAUGACAGUUUUAAAGCCGGAGAUCUUGAUGCAGAAUCUCAUAUUGCUUCCCGCGUAUCAGAGUCCUUAGACGACGUUAAAAUCUGGAUGCUGCAUAAUCGACUAAAGAUGAAUGACGAAAAAACUGAGGUUAUUAUCUUCGGUGGUAGCCGUCAGCUCCACAAGUCUACCAUCCACGAAUUAAGAGUUGGGGAUUCUGUAGUUGGGUCUUCAUCCCGUGUUAAAUUCCUGGGGAUGCAUUUGGACGAAAACUUAAACUUAAAGAGUCAUUUUGCCCAGAAGACUUGUUGUGCUGCUUCGGCAAUGUUCAACUUGCGGAAAUUGAGACCGUUUCUUUCGCGAGAAUCAUCUCUUCAAAUUGCCAGUUCUUUAGUUUUGUCCCAUAUGGAUUACAGAAAUAGUCUACUCUGUGGUUUGCCAGCAACUACUCUUCAACCUCUCCAACGAAUUCAAAAUUUUACUGCAAAGCUAAUUCUUGGUGUUAAUUACGGCCAUAGCUCGACUGGUGCUCUGAAAGAACUUCAUAUAUUGCCAGUUGAAGUCUGAUGCCAAUUCAAGCUACUGGUACUGGUGUAUAAGUGUCUCCACAACCUUGCCCCAGUCUACCUUUCUGAAUUAUUGCAGUCCUAAACUUCAUCAUGCAAUACGAGAUCGUCAUCAAAAAACAUGUUAUUUAUACCCAAGACAAAAAGUAAAACAUUUGCAGACAGAUCGUUCAGUGUGCUAGGACCGCGGCUCUGGAAUACCCUUCCAGAAAGUGUGAAACAAUGUCAAACUGUAACGGAUUUUAAAAAGAAACUCAAAACAUAUUUUUUUCGUAAAGCAUUUCAUUUAAGGUUUGUGUAAGACUUUGUGAAGCGCCAUUGAAUGCAUGGCAGUAAUGUGCACUAUAUCAAAUGUAAUAUGUUAUGUUAUGUUAUGUUAUUACAUCGUUUCUUCACAGACAGUUGAGUUGAUGAUAAUGUAACAAUAAAGAACUUUUUUCAUUGGAUCUUAUUAUUUCAUUACAAAUUUUGAAUGUAAAUACAUGUAACAUUUUGUUUUAUAUUUUGAAAUAUUGUAUAUAUUAUGCAAAAUUGUGAUAAUUGUUUAUUAAUUUUGAAAUAUCUAGACUGUGA
Patella vulgata (common limpet) is the source of this 2695-nucleotide long non-coding RNA. RefSeq lists it as uncharacterized. The record is from RefSeq and is a predicted model, not a curated record. The transcript has 4 exons. NCBI's taxonomy places the organism in Eukaryota, Metazoa, Mollusca, Gastropoda, Patellidae.